RNAcentral lists this ribosomal RNA (497 nucleotides) under uncultured bacterium. RNAcentral describes it as "partial 16S ribosomal RNA". It matches the Rfam family "Bacterial small subunit ribosomal RNA", at positions 28 to 507 of the family's 1533-position model. The record is from RNAcentral.
GAUGAACGCUGGCGGCGUGCCUAAUACAUGCAAGUCGAGCGAACGGACGAGAAGCUUGCUUCUCUGAUGUUAGCGGCGGACGGGUGAGUAACACGUGGAUAACCUACCUAUAAGACUGGGAUAACUUCGGGAAACCGGAGCUAAUACCGGAUAAUAUUUUGAACCGCAUGGUUCAAAAGUGAAAGACGGUCUUGCUGUCACUUAUAGAUGUAUCCGCGCUGCAUUAGCUAGUUGGUAAGGUAACGGCUUACCAAGGCAACGAUGCAUAGCCGACCUGAGAGGGUGAUCGGCCACACUGGAACUGAGACACGGUCCAGACUCCUACGGGAGGCAGCAGUAGGGAAUCUUCCGCAAUGGGCGAAAGCCUGACGGAGCAACGCCGCGUGAGUGAUGAAGGUCUUCGGAUCGUAAAACUCUGUUAUUAGGGAAGAACAUAUGUGUAAGUAAAUGUGCACAUCUUGACGGUACCUAAUCAGAAAGCCACGGCUAACUACGUG